RNAcentral lists this ribosomal RNA (370 nucleotides) under Paranais litoralis. Its description in RNAcentral is "partial 16S ribosomal RNA". It matches the Rfam family "Bacterial large subunit ribosomal RNA", at positions 1932 to 2546 of the family's 2925-position model. The record is from RNAcentral. Lineage: Eukaryota; Metazoa; Annelida; Clitellata; Tubificida; Naididae.
UGCGGUAUCCUGACCGUGCUAAGGUAGCAUAAUAAUUUGCCCAUUAAUUGUGGGCUAGAAUGAAUGGAAAAACGAAGUAGUAGCUGUCUCUAGUAAUACAAUAAAAACUAAUAUUCCAGUGAAGAAGCUGAAAUAAAAUCACAGGACAAGAAGACCCUAUAGAGCUUUAUUUUUAAUGUAUAGAAAUACAGAAAAAUUCAGUUGGGGCGACUAAGGAAAAAUCAUCCUAAAUAAUAAAGACAGACAAGUCAAAUCAAAGAUCCUAAUAAAUAGAUCAAAGAAACAAGCUACCUUAGGGAUAACAGGCUAAUCCCCCUGGAAAGUUCAAAUUUAUAGGGGGGUUUGGCACCUCGAUGUUGGCUUAGGAAGC